GCAGCCAGUUCAGUCCGAGCCGAGAGUCAGCGCGGAGCGUAUACCGAGCGCGCAACGAAAACCGAACAGACACCACCCGCCGCCGUGCCCGACCCCAUCGCGGAGUGCAACAGCGUGUCGUGACAGUAGUAGUGCAAACCACACCGCCGCCACCAUGUCGGCCGGACUCAGUUGCGGGAGUAGCGUCAUCAAGUACCUUCUGUUCAUCUUCAACUUCGUCUUCGCGCUAUGCGGCCUCCUCCUGGUCGUCCUGGGCGCGCUGUCGCUGAACGCCAUGGCGCCGCUGUCGCAGAUCGGGAACCACAUCGACUCGUCCGCCAUCGUCCUGAUCGUGGCGGGCGCCAUCAUCUUCAUCAUCGCCUUCUACGGCUGCUGCGGCGCCGUGCAGGAGAGCAGCUGCAUGCUCAUCACGUUCGCCGUGCUGCUCCUGGUGAUCAUCAUCGUCGAGGUGAUCGCGUGCGUGCUGGCCUUCAUGUACAGCUCCCAGGCACAGAGUGAGGUGACCGACGGCAUCAGGACCCUGUUCGAGAAGGCGCGCCAGGGCGACGACAGAUACGCCAGCGAGGCCGUCGACUACUUCCAGAGCAAGCUUCAGUGCUGCGGUGCCGACGGUCCCUCGGCCUGGGGCACGGGCCCGCUGACUCUGCGCCCCUCGUGCUGCGGUGGCUCGUCCGUCUGCACCGUCGUCAACGCUUACCCCAACGGCUGCAGGACCGCCAUCGCCGACUUCCUCAAGACCAACGGCAAGAUCGUGGGCGGAGUGGCUAUCGGCGUGGCCGUCGUGGAGCUGGUUGGAGUGUGGUUCGCGUUGGGUCUGGCUGGAGCCAUCAAGAAGGCGGAGCGCGGCGGGCAGCGAGGAUACUAGACAAAGCUCCUCGCUUUUGGUUUAUGAACUUGACUGGCUCUCAAGAUGAUCAAAAGACGUGUCGUGCAAGUGUCGUGUGUUGUUAACUACCGUACUUUUUAGGCUAUUUAUGUUUUUAAAUUAUUUUUUCUUUUUGCCUUUACCUCUUUUCAUUCCUGAUGACUUUUUAAAAAUAAUGAACUUUAUAAUAAAACUAUCAUUCCCGCCGACCUUAUGAAAUUAGGGGAUGUGCGUAUUGCUAAUGCAAGCCCAAAGAACGUUUUGUACAGUUACCGGUAUGGACAGUCCGUCCGCUGUAUCCUUUAGUGGGAUUCGCCACUUUUAUUGCCUGAAGUUAAACUUAAAAGAAAUACCUUAAGUUUUUGUAUAAUUUUAUUAUAGAUAUUAUUAAAUUAAAAUUUUAAAAUAUUA
Frankliniella occidentalis (western flower thrips) is the source of this 1276-nucleotide RNA transcript. It is a transcript of the gene named leukocyte surface antigen CD53, with no coding region annotated. The record is from RefSeq and is a predicted model, not a curated record. NCBI's taxonomy places the organism in Eukaryota, Metazoa, Arthropoda, Insecta, Thysanoptera, Thripidae. The transcript is spliced from 6 exons.